Molecule: transfer RNA, 66 nt
Filed under: Unio crassus
Lineage: Eukaryota; Metazoa; Mollusca; Bivalvia; Unionida; Unionidae
Description: tRNA-Ala
Source: RNAcentral
UAGUUCUAUACUUUAAUAAAAAGAUCUGAUUUGCAUUCAACCAUUGAGAUACUACUCUAGAACUAU